Molecule: long non-coding RNA, 1851 nt
Filed under: Octopus vulgaris (common octopus)
Lineage: Eukaryota; Metazoa; Mollusca; Cephalopoda; Octopoda; Octopodidae
Source: RNAcentral
GAACAUGAAAAUAACGAUUUCUUUAUUGUUCCUUCAAGGGCAUUGAGUGACAGAAUAAUGUUACAAACUAUGCUUAUUUGAUAAAAAUGAAGGUAUUCAUAUGUGCUAGUUCCAAGUGGGGUUUUAAGAGAAUAGAUAACAUCUUUCUAUCUAGAUGUCUUUUCAGACAUAAUUACUUUCGAAAGAAUUAUGCAUGAAAGCCUAAACAGGAUAAACUUACAAUUAGAAUGUUAGACAGGGCAGUGAACUGACAGAAUAUCUUGUGGGUAUUUUCCUCAAAAUUGCUGGCCUUGUCAGACAUGCAUUUGCUGUUCAAGAAGAAAGACUAUUUUAAAAUGUUAUUCUCUGAAUUUUUAUAAGAUAUUCAGUUGUGUUGGUGCAUUCACAAGAUUUAAAUAUACAGUCAAAGGUUUUCAAGAUAUUUGAGUCCACUUAAUUUCAUGAUUUACUUGUAGUGUAAACCUGCUCUCUGGGAUGCAAAGUUUUUCUCAGCACAACACAGGCCCAGGUAUUUCUGGGGUAACUUACCAACAAUAUACAGGUAAGGUUGACAUUCAAUUUUGAAAUAACUGCAUAAUCUUUUAAGCUAUAAUUUAUAUUUUAACAAAUGAAAUUAAACUAGAUUGAGUAAAUAGGAGGUAUUACUAGUCAGAAAUAAUUUGAUGACUAUAUUUGAUACAAUGUCUUAGCUAUGACAAUUCUAUCAUUUAUAGUGAAUGUCAUUUUUUCAUUAUUCCCAGCAGAAGAGUAAAAUAAUUUGGCAAUUUAGUCACCAAUGAUUGUUUUCUGACAUUUUAUAUAGAUAUUCCUUUGCAAUAAAAAAUAUUCUGAUGUAUAAAUGAGGAGUAAUUUCAUCAUAUUGACUUGCUUAGGAUAGUUUAUAUAGAGACGAAAACUGCAGUAAUGCUAAAGUAAUACUGGCCAGCUCAAUUCAAACUAAACCAAAAGUAUAUAUAAAAUUCACAAUGUCUUAUCUGUAUGUUUAGUGUCAGUUUAUCAUUUAAAGACUUCUUCAAUAAUUAUUUAUUUAAUGUAAACAUUUUCUUCCAGUUCACAGCCAACAACUGAAGAUGAUUCUCUUUACUUAGAUAAAAUUCUUUCACCAAACUGCAACAGAAAGGCUAGAGUAAGUUGGUUCGAUUUUCUAUACCUAGACAAUAGCUGUCUUGAGAAGUAUGAUUCACAACCUAUCAUAUCUGUAUGUUUGAAACAACAGUAUUGUCUCAAAAAUGCCAGUUAAUAAAUAUCGAUUCAUUAACUAAAUACCAGAAAGGAAAUAUAUACUGUUGAUAUGUUUGUGGUGCAUGGCUACAAUCCAUUAACUUAUAACAGUAAAGGAAGACUAAUACAUCAUUUAGGCAUUGUAAAAUAUCAAUGUAUUUUGUCAUCAGGUGAAACAGCUACGGACAGUGACAACAAGAAGUAACUCACUCAGACAGGGAAAAAAUGAAAAUAUUUUGCCAGUUGAAAUGGAUGGAGAAGAAGACGCUAUUUGGAUUACAGAAUUGGAAAAGUAAGUCUUUUCUGCUUAUUACGGUGAAAUAAAUUUCUACAAAUAUUUUGGUUCUUAGUUGCUGAACCUGCAGGAAAGAACUACACUCUUUAAACCUAUGGGGAAAAAUAUGGCAUAGAGGACACAAGGGUGAAAAUAGAGUAAUUGACUUCUCACCUUUUCAGAUAAAGGUGUAAUUAUUGUGUUUGAUAAAAAGGUAGUUGUCUAGCCCCAUGACCAAAGCUAUUUCAGCUGUGAUCAUCUGAUCCACUUGGAUUACAUAUCCCCCCCCCCACGACGACGACCAACUAAAGCCAACAGUUUAGCAGUUUUGCAAUUUGGCAACUAACCUUUUGGCC